ACGGGAGGUAGCAGUCGGGAAUAUUGCGCAAUGGAGGAAACUCUGACGCAGUGACGCCGCGUAUAGGAAGAAGGUUUUCGGAUUGUAAACUAUUGUCGUUAGGGAAGAUAAAAGACAGUACCUAAGGAGGAAGCUCCGGCUAAAUACGUGCCAGCAGCCGCGGUAAUACGUAUGGAGCAAGCGUUAUCCGGAUUUACUGGGUGUAAAGGGAGCGUAGACGGCAAAGCAAGUCUGAAGUGAAAUCCCGGGGCUCAACCCUGGAACUGCUUUGGAAACUGUUUAGCUAGAGUGCAGGAGAGGUAAGUGGAAUUCCUAGUGUAGCGGUGAAAUGCGUAGAUAUUAGGAGGAACACCAGUGGCGAAGGCGGCUUACUGGACUGUAACUGACGUUGAGGCUCGAAAGCGUGGGGAGCAAACAGGAUUAGAUACCCUGGUA
This 435-nucleotide ribosomal RNA is filed under the name uncultured Lachnospira sp. Its description in RNAcentral is "partial 16S ribosomal RNA". It matches the Rfam family "Bacterial small subunit ribosomal RNA", at positions 341 to 792 of the family's 1533-position model. Lineage: Bacteria; Bacillati; Bacillota; Clostridia; Lachnospirales; Lachnospiraceae. The record is from RNAcentral.